UGGCACCUCUUCAGGAAUUAAUUGAGAAGCUUGGAUCGAAAGACAGAUAAAUUUUUCUUCUAGAACAGUUACCCUCUUGCUUCAUCUACUGCUAAAGCUAUCUCGUUGCUUUCUGUUAUAGACUAGUGAUACAAACUUUAAGAAAACAAGAUAAAAAGACACCUAUUGUCUGUGUCUACUGAUAAAAUUGUCCCAAAGAGUUGCUGGACCGCUCCCUGCAGAAGAACCGGGAAGAGUAAGGCCAGGAACACACGUGGAAGAAGAAGAAAGAGAUGAUAAAGUAAAGCCUGGUCACCUCCAGGUUCUGAGAGAAAUAAAGUUUCCAGAAAUUAUGUUCCUGCAAUAAGAAAUAAAGAUGUGACCUUC
This 366-nucleotide long non-coding RNA is filed under the name Physeter macrocephalus (sperm whale). Its description in RNAcentral is "Physeter catodon (sperm whale) lncRNA (ENSPCTG00005013923.1)". Lineage: Eukaryota; Metazoa; Chordata; Mammalia; Artiodactyla; Physeteridae. The record is from RNAcentral.